AUAUCAGGGGGCAUUUCCUUGUCAAAUCUUUGAAUCUUUUCCAUGCUUCAUAUAAGGUUUCACCAUCCUGCUGUCUAAAUGCCUGCACCUCAGUUAUCAAUCU
This is a small nucleolar RNA of Arachis stenosperma, 103 nucleotides long. Lineage: Eukaryota; Viridiplantae; Streptophyta; Magnoliopsida; Fabales; Fabaceae. The record is from RefSeq and is a predicted model, not a curated record.